CACACACACACACACACACACACACACACACACACACACACCCUGCCAGCACGGAGCAGGCUGUCUGCGGAGGGCAGAGCUGCCCCUCGGCUCCAAGGCCAGUAUGCAUCUAGCCUGGCCCGGGAGGAACUGUGUCCUUUUUUAUCUUUGUCUCUCAAAGUGGUGGCAGCUGCACAGAACCCAGGUGAACGGCACACUCUGCGUGAAACGGGAAACAGGAGGUGCUGCAGGGCGAGGCUCUGAUGCCUCCAGGGAGAUGCUGGACACCCGUUUCACCUGGAGACAGGCCCUGCCUUCCCAGGGCUGCCCAAGGCCUUGCGCCCUCAGUCUGCGUCAGCCCAGGCUGCCGAGUACCGACUGCCACAAGCGUGGGCCAUCUUGCAGUCCUAAAGCUGGAUGUCUGGGAUCCAGGGGUGAGUUCCUUUGCAUUCGAGCACCUGCUGUCCCUGCGCUUUGAGCUCACUUCCGAGGGGCGGGUUUGAACUUCUUCUCAGAGCCAGUCCACAGGCCCGUGCCUGGGACUCCUGCUCAGGUGGAAGGGGCCCAGGUAGGAGGCUGGUCGCCGGCAGAGGUGGGUCCACUCCGACUCCGACCUCUCGGACGCCCAAGGCCCUGGACCAGCGGCAUGAAGAGCCUGCCUGUCCCCCACUGAACGGCCAAAGGGAUGCCCUUACCCGCCGACUUGGCUGCCCAGCAGCCGCAGCUCUGGGGGGUCUCCGCCAAACCCACUCAAGGCUUGUCCAGCUCGUCUGCUUGGUCGAAGCUGCCCAUCCAGGUGUGCGGGUGAGCGCGAUCGGUGAGAAAGUCUGUAAUAUGGAAAUGCGCGUUCCACUGAGGCCUCUACAAAGUGCUGCAGUCCAGGUGCCUGUCGCAGCUCAGCAGCCACCAGCGGCCCCCAUGCCCUGGGCCACUGCUGUGCACACAGCUCCAUCCCAGCCCAGUGAGGCGGACUCACCUGAGACUCACCUGAGACACAGCAGGCCGGCCCACAGAGUGUCGGGACCACUGCUGAUCGGGGGACAGCAGCCCCCACAGCGGCUCGGUCAGGACGGAAAAACAAUAGCAACAGCAAAAGGCAGCCCAUGCGUGUGCCAAGGACAGUGGCAGUCACCACAGCCCACGGCUUCGCUCGGGGCGGGGGGCUGUCAGCGGCUUCUGCCUUCACGCUGCUUCCCUUCACUUUCUGCCCUUUCCUGCAUGUGCUGUUUAUGGAAUAAAAAGGUACCGUUUCUCUUAAACCAAGCCCUCCUGCCAUACCCACUGUCCCCCACACACACACACGUACAUGCACACACGUACACGCAUGCACACACGUACCCGCAUGCACACGUACACACGUACGCACACACGUACAUGCGCACACACAUACACGCGCACACACAAACAUUAAAUGAAAGCAUUUUAAGUGUCAGCCUUUAG
RNAcentral lists this long non-coding RNA (1419 nucleotides) under Ovis aries (sheep). Its description in RNAcentral is "lncRNA (ENSOARG00000025273.1)". Lineage: Eukaryota; Metazoa; Chordata; Mammalia; Artiodactyla; Bovidae. The record is from RNAcentral.